UACAUAUGGGGCAAGCGUUGUUCGGAAUUACUGGGCGUAAAGGGUGCGUAGGCGGUUGUUUAAGUCUGUUGUGAAAUCCCCGGGCUCAACCUGGGAAUGGCAAUGGAUACUGGGCAGCUAGAGUGUGUCAGAGGAUGGUGGAAUUCCCGGUGUAGCGGUGAAAUGCGUAGAGAUCGGGGGGAACAUCAGUGGCGAAGGCGGCCAUCUGGGACAACACUGACGCUGAAGCACGAAAGCGUGGGGAGCAAACAGG
This 253-nucleotide ribosomal RNA is filed under the name uncultured bacterium. Its description in RNAcentral is "partial 16S ribosomal RNA". It matches the Rfam family "Bacterial small subunit ribosomal RNA", at positions 524 to 776 of the family's 1533-position model. The record is from RNAcentral.